CCCCUAKUAACUGCGAGUGAAGCGGGAAAAGCUCAAAUUUAAAAUCUGACAGUCUUUGGCUGUCCGAGUUGUAGUCUGGAGAAGCGUUUUCCGCGCUGGACCGUGUACAAGUCUCUUGGAACAGAGCGUCAUAGAGGGUGAGAAUCCCGUCUUUGACACGGACUACCAGUGCUUUGUGAUGCGCUCUCAAAGAGUCGAGUUGUUUGGGAAUGCAGCUCAAAAUGGGUGGUAAAUUCCAUCUAAAGCUAAAUAUUGGCGAGAGACCGAUAGCGAACAAGUACCGUGAGGGAAAGAUGAAAAGCACUUUGGAAAGAGAGUUAAACAGUACGUGAAAUUGCUGAAAGGGAAACGCUUGAAGUCAGUCGCGUCGUCUAGAACUCAACCUGGCUUUGCUUGGUGCAUUUUCUAGUUGACGGGCCAACAUCAGUUUUGACUACUGGAAAAAAGCCUUUGGAAUGUGGCACCUACGGGUGUGUUAUAGCCUUGGGUUGUAUACAGUGGUUGGGACUGAGGACCGCAGCACGCCUUAUGGCCGGGGUUCGCCCACGUACGUGCUUAGGAUGUUGGCGUAAUGGCUUUAAGCGACCCGUCUUGAAACACGGACCAAGGAGUCUAACAUGCCUGCGAGUGUUUGGGUGGAAAACCCGAGCGCGUAAUGAAAGUGAAAGUUGGGAUCCCUGUCGUGGGGAGCACCGACGCCCAUACCAGACCUUCUGUGACGGAUAUGCGGUUGAGCAUGUAUGUUGGGACCCGAAAGAUGGUGAACUAUGCCUGAAUAGGGUGAAGCCAGAGGAAACUCUGGUGGAAGCUCGUAGCGAUUCUGACGUGCAAAUCGAUCGUCAAAUUUGGGUAUAGGGGCGAAAGACUAAUCGAACCAUCUAGUAGCUGG
This 889-nucleotide ribosomal RNA is filed under the name Phlebiodontia acanthocystis. Its description in RNAcentral is "eukaryotic LSU rRNA". It matches the Rfam family "Eukaryotic large subunit ribosomal RNA", at positions 77 to 954 of the family's 3401-position model. Lineage: Eukaryota; Fungi; Basidiomycota; Agaricomycetes; Polyporales; Meruliaceae. The record is from RNAcentral.